AUGCCUAUUUGGUCUCUUUGCCAUCUGCCAACAGAUGGCAAAGAGCCUGCAGCCUUUGCCGUCAGCUGGCGGACGGCAAAGGCUGCCGUUAGCCACCUAACGGACACUAACACUACUCAUUUUGCCGUCCGCGGCAGACGGCAAAGGCGCCUUUGCCGUCAGCCGCCGAAAGCAGACGGCAAAGUAGGUCUUUGCCGUAGCCUACUUUGCCGGAGCCUUUUGCCGUCCGCGGCUGACGGCAAAGGCCUUUGCCGUCCGCCGUUCAUGCCUUUGCCGUCCGCCGUGGCAGACGGCAAAGUAGCUGAUUCCUGUAGUGUUAGUAACGUAAUCAACAACAACUAA
Molecule: ribosomal RNA, 342 nt
Filed under: Triticum aestivum (bread wheat)
Lineage: Eukaryota; Viridiplantae; Streptophyta; Magnoliopsida; Poales; Poaceae
Description: partial small subunit ribosomal RNA
Source: RNAcentral